CGCUGCAGCCUUAUUGGUUCCCCUACGCAAUCCAGUAGGAAAAAUAGUAUCGUGUGCCGUUGGCUUUAGAAUGUAUUCUUAAUUCGCAACAACUUUAGUGAUGGAACUUUCCACAAGCGCGAUGUCCGCCGCGCAGUGCGUUUCGGUACGUGUAACGCCUGUUUCAUCACGUUUCGGGUGUUGCUUGUAACUGCUGUGUAUUCUGACUCAAAUAUGGUAAUGGAUGAGGAAGUGGUUGAGUGGUUGGAAAAAGAAGACUUAAGGACAUAUUUAUGAAAAAUAACGAAGGCAAGCAUCAACUAAUAAUUAAAGAAGUAGCUACAGCCAUAACUUGUCGAAAACAAUCUAUUUAGCUAUGCUGUAUUUAUCUGUACUGUAAUAAACAGUAAAUGUUUUGUGGGACUGUUUUUGUUAUGAUUAAUGAUCGCAAAUAUUAGAUAACAUUUUAUAGGAAAAUGUAUCAUUUAGCGUAUAUUCUUAUAUAUUAAGAAUAUCCGAUAAGAAUAUUCUGUUUAGAAGAUUUCUCUCUUAAAUUAAGACAAGUCUUUUAGCGCUUAUUUUAGAGUAAAAGAUUAUAAAAGUAAGUGAAAUAUUCUUAAGAUGAGAAUAUAAUUUUAUCGGUGCUCCUUUAUUUAAUUUUUAACAAACUUUACGUAUUUCCUUUGAGAAAUGGAUACUAAAAUACUUCGGUUCGUUAAAAUGGGCCUCUUUAUUUUAAUAUUUGCUAAAGAAACCCGGCAAAUAAUUAAUAAUAGAACGGUAUUCCAGGAUGGAGUUAUAUAUAUGUAUGCGUAUGUGACAUAUUAAAUUAUUUUUUCAAUUAUAUGUAUAACGCUUUAGCACACGUGCAUUAUUGCGCACUAACACUUUUUUUCUGUAAUAAUUCUUUUACGAAUCAUACACAAAGAAAAAAGUGUUUCAAUUAUGUUGAUGUCGACUAUAGUUACGACAACGAGUGUAUGAUCGAUUACCAUAUGAGUGUUGCACACUUCUUUCUAGAGCUAAGUUAACGUUAUUGUUCCCACGCAAACGCGUGGCGUGGCAUUAAGAAACGAAGUAGGUACAAUUUCGAGCUGCGUAUCCAAGAGACUUGACUUGCUCAAAACCGGAUGGGUGAUUUUAAUCGCCCGUGGUUGACCGACCAACAACUCCGGAAGAACGCGAGAAGCAUUAUCGCGUGCGCUGGUAUGUUAUUUGAAAAAAUACAGUUAUAAGAGAAUAAAAUUUCUAGAAACCUUACCCUUUUUUCCUAUAAUUUCUUUCUCUUCUGAAAAAGUGCACUGUACCUAGAAUGACCUUCUAUAGACCAUUCUCUUAAGCACCGGUUAAAGUUAAGUGGAUUUUAACUAGUUUCGUAACAGAAAAUAUGUGGAUGCGUGUUCUUAAGUAUGCCAAUAUUGCUAGGCAAGUUGGGAAGCAUUGUUCUGAAAAUUUAUUUUGCCAGAAUUAAGUAUCACUUAAUAUAUAAUUGAAAAACAUAACGUUCAUGUAUGUCCUAACCUAAAGUAUAAUGUCGUGAAUGUAAAAUAUGAAAUUAAUAUAAUAAUUAUGAGUUUAAUUGUAGACAAAUUAUAAAAAUGUGAUAUUAAAUAUAUUUAUAUCGCAUAAAACAAUAUUUCCGUACGCUUAUAAUAACCUAUAGAUUAAUCUGAUUAAGAUGUAUUAUUUUUCUAAAUCUUAUAAAAUUAUAAAUAUAAAUAUUAGGAGAGAGUUCCUAGGGAAGGUAAAAUCGCCUCGACAUCAUUCGUCAACAUGAGCUGCAACAAAUGUGGCAAUAGUUUCUUGCGGCCUUAGAACUGUGUUAUGGCUGUGAAACGCAUUCCCGCCUCGUCAUCGUCACACACUGGUUGCUCAUGCUGGUUGCGUAAUUGUUCGCAAUAAUGUUAGCAAGGCCAACCAAUACACGAACACACUCCAGAGUAGCAAUGUCAGCGGAGAUAAACGAUUAAAUGAUACACGCACGAAACGUCAAUCUACGACGAUAUCCAGGGUCGCUGGGAAAUCAAAUAAUGUAUAGCACUCUUUUUAGAUAUUGUCGGGCACAAUAAUGUAUAUACCGUUUCAUCGGCCCUGAGGA
Vollenhovia emeryi is the source of this 2077-nucleotide long non-coding RNA. RefSeq lists it as uncharacterized. The transcript is spliced from 3 exons. The record is from RefSeq and is a predicted model, not a curated record. NCBI's taxonomy places the organism in Eukaryota, Metazoa, Arthropoda, Insecta, Hymenoptera, Formicidae.